AAUGUGGAAGUCAGAGCAAAAUGAAUGUGUAAUAAUUCCAUGAAGGAAAGUCUCCAAACAGAUAAAACUGCAUCGCUGUCUGAUUUCAAAAUAAAAUCCACGUGUAUUAUGUGUGUAGGCUAUACAUAUGCUGCACGCUACAUGUUGCCAUCCCAAAGGUGCUUCCCAAACAGAAUGAUACAUUUUGACAGCAUAUAUGUAUAAAAAUAUCCACUUAUUUAAUAAUAUAGCUGGGAUCUUGACUAAAUUAGCGUGCCUUUUGUGAAUUCUUUUGAAAAUAUGGACGUUGGGCUUGUUCUUUUUCCUGUUGGUGCAACGUGAUUUUUACUGCCGCCCUGCGGCGCUGUGAGGAGCCAGUGUAAAUACUCUCAUUGAUUAUGUCUGUCAGCCGCUUAUGUCACUGCGCCACACCGGAGGCUGUGCAAAUUCAAAGACUCCUCCGACGCGGCCGACAAAUGCAUCCUCCUUUUUCUCCGACUUGGUGGAUCCUUCUCGGCCAAGCUUAYCCCAUGAGGCGUUGYGGGCYGACCAGAGAUUUUUUUGCUUGUACUGGCAGAUGUAGCGAGACAAAGGAAUACAGUUUUAAAUAAAAAUCUGGCAGUAUAAAACUGAAAGUUUAAAGCAGUUGUGUUGUUAAUCCUUUUGUCAUUUGCAUCGACAUGUUUUUUAAAAAUUAUUCUUGUCAGAAAUCAAAUGAGCUGUAUGUGAAAUAAAUGUACACAUACAGUGAGUCCUUUAUUUCUUCUAAUAUUGCCUUUAGGCUAAUUUUGUUAAUUUAUAAUUUAAAAAAAUUAAUGUAUGAUAUUUUGCUAAUUUCAAAUUAUUUUUGCUUCUGUUUAGUAUAAUCACAGUUGUUAGGCGACGUGACAUACGCCAGGGUAAGGGCCGGUAUAAAGCAGGUGGCUAGACCGUCCAAAUUCGGUCACUUUUUACCGGUCGACCGAAGAUCCGGCCCACCUAGACUGGUUAGACCAGGUCCUUCGAAAGACACAGCCCUUGAAUUUGGACAUAGCCAUGGUCUCUUUAACAUGUCCUCACUAGGGUCUCCUCCUAAUUGGACAUGCGGCGCCAGGGGACACCCUUACCAAAAGCCUGAACCACCCCAACUGGACGGCUGUGGCGGUGUGGUUAGAGGAGUUGUCCUGUAGUCGUCAGUCGUGUUCUUGGGAAAGACACUUCACCCACCUUGCAGUUCAACUACUUCUUCACCACAACGGACCGACACAAAGUGCGCAGUACUGCAUGUGCUGCACUGAUCCAUCUGUCAGGUUGUCAGUUGUUGCUAUCAUGCACAUUAGCUAAAUAACACAUAUUUUCUUGGCUGCAACUUUACCACCAACACUUUGAACUGUUCCACUUGGAUUGCCUUUGUUAAACAGAAUUUUCUCUGUUUCAUAUUAACUAAUUGUCAUUAUAAAUCUGCAAGAAGGAAGCUUAAUUUUCAUGCAGAAUGACAAACAUGACCCGUCACUUCUUAUACAUUAGAUAUAUUUUCUAGUAAGCUGGAUAAAAUUGGAGACAAGAACCAUAUCUGGCCUGCAGGCCUUGAGUUUGACACAUAAAUAUAUGAAAGAGAAACAAGACAGUCAUAAAACUGACAGACAGUUGUGAGAGGGAAAAUGUGCUCAUUUAUUGUGGGUAUACCCCCAAAAAUACAAGGUCCUGCCGAAUAUUGGGGAGAGUGGCCACAUAUAAGACAUUAUUCAUUUGAAAUAUGUUUCUGAUGCUUGGUUAGUCUAGAAGCAAAACCAAACAAACUAAAUAAAUAAACAAAAAUAAACAAAAACAAAAAAACCUAACCUCCUGAUCUGGUGUGUCACAUGUUUGAAGUCCUCAAUGUUUUGGUUAAAGCAGGAACACACAUUAUGGUUUCACCUUGCCAUCAAAAAGACAGAAGGAGUGGGGAGAGCGAGACAGAUGCACUGACUCUGCAUCUAACUACGAAGCUUUUUUAUUUAUUUAUUUAUUUAUUUUACAAAUUAGUUGAAUAAAAACAUGAAGAGAUUGAAUCGGAGACUGUAAGGUUGUCUUCCCSGGGAGGUCUUCUGAGUACGUUUCACUGAGAGGAGACCUGAAGAAGAUCCAGAACUCACCGGAGAGUUUGACGCCUUGAGACCCUCAAAGAAGAGCUGGAGGGGGUUGCUGUGGAGGAGGGGCAUCCGGGUUUCCCUGCUGAACCUUUAGUCUUGGAUGAGUGGGGCAAAAAAGAAAGGUACUCAACUCGCUGCUUAUAUCUAUUAAAUUACUUGUCAUAUGUUUUUUAUUUGAAAUGUAGAGAUAUUUAUAGGAUGUACGUUAUGACCAGCCUCCAAGAAAUACUUGCAACUAAAAUGACCAAAGACGAGUUAACUCCAGCUCAAGUCUCGGAAGAGCCGAGAAUAAAGUUCUUUUAAACAUAUUCUGUUUUUUAUUGACAGUUAUUUCAUUUGAAAAAAAAAUCUUUAUAUGUUUAUUUAGAGAUUUCAAACAUUUGAACGGAAACCUCAAAGUGCAUUUAUGUAAAAAAAAAAAUUGUUGAGUCAGCUCUAAGUUGGUGAUGGGAAACUCCUCUCAUAUUGGACACCCUUAAAUGAAUAACCACUUUCAGCUGAGAUUUCUGUUGUGACAUUUGGAGGCUGCCGGUAAACGAAAUAUAUUUUAUUCAGAAAAGAGCCGGUUUUUGAACAGAGCCCUUCAUGCAUCUACAAGUCUCUCGUCGGCGUCAUUUCGUCCACAAAAGAGACCUCACGAGCUGCUGCGGGACGACACCAGCUAAUAUCAUGAAUCAGCUUUUUAGUCAGCUCUUCACAGAAUCGAGAAGUCAUCAGAGCUGAGUAUUUCACACUGAUAACACAACUUUGUGGAGUUAAACCUUUGGCACUGGAACAACAUUUUUACUAAUAAGGACUUCUGUAGUUAAACCUCUUGUUUCAGAACUGGUAAAAAAAAAGCCACCACAUGACAAACACAUAAAGCUGCAUCCUUUUACCACUAAAGAGGAAAA
Long non-coding RNA from Austrofundulus limnaeus, 2983 nucleotides. RefSeq lists it as uncharacterized. The record is from RefSeq and is a predicted model, not a curated record. Lineage: Eukaryota; Metazoa; Chordata; Actinopteri; Cyprinodontiformes; Rivulidae. The transcript is spliced from 2 exons.